GAUGAAGAACGCAGCGAAAUGCGACAAGUAAUGUGAAUUGCAGAAUUCAGUGAAUCAUCGAAUCUUUGAACGCACAUUGCGCCCCCUGGUAUUCCGGGGGGCAUGCCUGUUCGAGCGUCAUUACAACCCUCAAGCUCUGCUUGGUAUUGGGCCCCGCCAGUUCUGGCGGGCCCUAAAGUCAGUGGCGGUGCCUUCCGGCUCCGAGCGUAGUAAUUCUUCUCGCUCUGGAGACCCGGUUGUGUGCUUGCCAACAACCCCCAAUUUUUUAAGGUUGACCUCGGAUCAGGUAGGGAUACCCGCUGAACUUAAGCAUAUCAAUAAGCGGAGGA
RNAcentral lists this unclassified non-coding RNA (329 nucleotides) under soil metagenome. RNAcentral's name for it is "partial contains 5.8S ribosomal RNA, internal transcribed spacer 2, and large subunit ribosomal RNA". The stretch from base 1 to 120 matches the Rfam family "5.8S ribosomal RNA", at positions 35 to 154 of the family's 154-position model. The record is from RNAcentral.